RNAcentral lists this ribosomal RNA (279 nucleotides) under uncultured bacterium. Its description in RNAcentral is "partial 16S ribosomal RNA". It matches the Rfam family "Bacterial small subunit ribosomal RNA", at positions 506 to 784 of the family's 1533-position model. The record is from RNAcentral.
UGCCAGCAGCCGCGGUAAUACGAAAGGAGCUAGCGUUGUUCGGAAUUACUGGGCGUAAAGCGCGCGUAGGCGGCUUUGUAAGUCGGAUGUGAAAGCCCCGGGCUCAACCCGGGAAUUGCAUUCGAUACUGCAGAGCUAGAGUAUGGUAGAGGGAAGUGGAAUUUCCGGUGUAGAAGUGAAAUUCGUAGAUAUUGGGAGGAACACCAGUGGCGAAGGCGACUACCUGGGCCGAUAUUGACACUGAGGUGCGAAAGCGCGGGGAGCAAACAGGAUUAGAUA